This 619-nucleotide ribosomal RNA is filed under the name uncultured bacterium. RNAcentral describes it as "bacterial SSU rRNA". It matches the Rfam family "Bacterial small subunit ribosomal RNA", at positions 338 to 956 of the family's 1533-position model. The record is from RNAcentral.
CCUACGGGAGGCAGCAGUGGGGAAUUUUGGACAAUGGGCGCAAGCCUGAUCCAGCAAUGCCGCGUGAGUGAAGAAGGCCUUCGGGUUGUAAAGCUCUUUUGUCAGGGAAGAAACGGUCUACUCUAAUACAGUGGGCUAAUGACGGUACCUGAAGAAUAAGCACCGGCUAACUACGUGCCAGCAGCCGCGGUAAUACGUAGGGUGCAAGCGUUAAUCGGAAUUACUGGGCGUAAAGCGUGCGCAGGCGGUUAUAUAAGUCAGAUGUGAAAUCCCCGGGCUCAACCUGGGAACUGCAUUUGAGACUGUAUGGCUAGAGUGUGUCAGAGGGGGGUAGAAUUCCACGUGUAGCAGUGAAAUGCGUAGAUAUGUGGAGGAAUACCGAUGGCGAAGGCAGCCCCCUGGGAUAACACUGACGCUCAUGCACGAAAGCGUGGGGAGCAAACAGGAUUAGAUACCCUGGUAGUCCACGCCCUAAACGAUGUCUACUAGUUGUCGGGACUUAAUUGUCUUGGUAACGCAGCUAACGCGUGAAGUAGACCGCCUGGGGAAGUACGGUCGCAAGNUUAAAACUUCAAAGGAAUUGAGGCUUGGAGAGNGCGAGACGACGACGAGGGAGAGG